Molecule: ribosomal RNA, 620 nt
Filed under: uncultured Verrucomicrobiota bacterium
Lineage: Bacteria; Pseudomonadati; Verrucomicrobiota
Description: bacterial SSU rRNA
Rfam family: Bacterial small subunit ribosomal RNA
Source: RNAcentral
UAGCAAUACGAUGGAAAGUCUAGUGGCGAACGGGUGCUUAACACGUGGGCAACCUGCCAGGAAGUGGGGGAUAGCUCGCCGAAAGGCGAAUUAAUACCGCAUGUGAUUAGAGAGGACAUCCUUUCGAAAUUAAAGUCGGGGCAACCUGACGCUUCUUGUGGGGCCCGCGGCCUAUCAGCUAGUUGGUGAGGUAACGGCUCACCAAGGCUUUGACGGGUAGCUGGUCUGAGAGGACGACCAGCCACACUGGGACUGAGACACGGCCCAGACACCUACGGGUGGCAGCAGUCGAGAAUUUUUGACAAUGGGGGAAACCCUGAUCGAGCGACGCCGCGUGGAGGAUGAAGGUCUUCGGAUUGUAAACUCCUGUCAUUGGGGAACAAGGUGCAUACGUUAACUGCGUGUGCAUUGAUAGUACCCGAAGAGGAAGAGACGGCUAACUCUGUGCCAGCAGCCGCGGUAAUACAGAGGUCUCAAGCGUUGUUCGGAUUCAUUGGGCGUAAAGGGUGCGUAGGCGGCGCGGUAAGUCGGGUGUGAAAUCUCGGAGCUUAACUCCGAAACUGCAUUCGAUACUGCCGUGCUUGAGGACUGGAGAGGAGACUGGAAUUCACGGUGUAGCA